This is a long non-coding RNA of Mustela lutreola (European mink), 479 nucleotides long. RefSeq lists it as uncharacterized. Lineage: Eukaryota; Metazoa; Chordata; Mammalia; Carnivora; Mustelidae. The transcript is spliced from 3 exons. The record is from RefSeq and is a predicted model, not a curated record.
GCAGGGACAGAGGGGCCACCUGAGGGCAGUCCAUACUUCGACAUGGGGACCAGAGGAAGGUCCCAAACUUAUGACAGUGCUGAGGAAAGACUGAUUCAUAAAGUGAACAAAGUAUGCUGCUGAGCAGAGGCAUUAUCUACUGCCUCAAGAAAGAAUCCCUGAAUUAUCUUCUCAGAAGGAUUCUGAUCUUGGGUACAUACCAAGACUAUUGAGCCUCGAUUUUCUCAUCUGUAAAACAGGCACAAUGACAGGAUCUACCAUAUGUUUCAUGAAGAUUGAACAAGCUCUGUUAAUCACUGCUUAAUAAACAUAAUCAUUAUCUUUAAUUUUUAUGUACACAUGGAAUACCAUUGCCACACUAAUAUAGUUUAUUGUCCUUGACCACAUGCAGGAUAUAUUACAAUCCUUUUGUUUCAUAUGUAUAAGCUAGAAAGAGGUAUAAUUUAAUAUACUCCAGAUUCAAUAUUAAAUAUGUACUA